GCCGCGGGUCUGGUCUGUGAUAGCGGAGGCGCGGUGCUGCGCGUGCCCUCAGGUGGGGCUGAACAGGCAGUGGAGGCCAAGCAGCAUGAACCUCACAUUCAUUUUCUGCAUGGAUUGACCAAGUGGGUUGGUCACUGUGAGUCUCCAGGUUGCACCCAAGAAGAGCCCAAUACAGGGACAUACAUGGAGGAAGUUUAGAAGUUUGUUCUUUGAGGAGCAGGAUGGGUAAGUACACACUGACAAAGCAGCAGUAGGAUUGGCACGCUGCCAUACCACUAUUUCUGUGUUCCCCAGUAGUGGGAGCAGGUUCUAGUCACAACAUGAAAGGGGAAGGUGAGAAAGAUGUGGGGUAAGAAUACGAAAUGCCAGAACUGUGGGAAGGUGCAGGUAUUAUAUGCAGAGUGGUAUAGUAUUAAAGGAAGCAUGCAUGAAAUUAAAGUGGAAAAAAAGAGGUGUGUCUAAGAAAAGCUGCUGAAAGCAUUUUGUAGCAUGCUGUGAAGAGAGGACUGCAUCUUGUGAGCUUAGCUUUCCUUCCAGAAUAACAUCAUUCUGUGCAUGUUCUUCAUCUGAACUCUUUUCUUGCUAUUGCUGUUCUGUUUAAACAGAGACACUGAAGGUUUGCAAAGUAUAAGCUUAGCCUAUUCUCUCAUCUGUGCGCGUAUUUUUAAGCUUUAGUACGCACUAAACAUGAUUUAUCUGCAUUUAUCUGACCUGUUAACAAUAUGAGAAUUAAGAGUCUGAAGUUGAUGGUUCUGGGACAUAUAUGACUUCCUUUAAGACUAUAUCCUGAAGCAUGGAAUCAGACUCUACAACUCAGAGUUACAAAGCAGGUAUGUUUAUUACGGCGCCAGGUGCAAGGAGGAUCGCUCCUCCUAACUUGCACACUGAGGAGUUAAGCAAGCAGAUAUUUAUUACACACAAACAUGCAUAUUCAUUAGGUUCUGAGAGAGCAGUGGGGAUAUGACAAUUAGUUUAGGUACUCGUUAUUAUAAGUCUCUUCCCUUUUGGUGUUUGCGCACUGCCCUCUGAUGAUUGUGCACAGGGGUCUUCAAGAUGAAGUAAGCAAUCUUCCUCGUGGUGCACUUUCCACCUUUGGCACAGUUGGAUGCUCCAGGAAUCACAAAACCAGCUGGAACCAGCCAUAUGUGUAAGUUUCUGAUAGCUGGCAAAGAUUUAGGACAAUGUGACCUUCGUACAAAAUUUAUUGCAAGCAAAACAGGAUGGGCAGACAAGCAGUAUCCUAAGCUAGCAGAUAUUUGGGAGUCGCUGUCUCCAAAGUAACUGAUAAUUAGAAGUAUGGUAAGAAAUAAUUCACUCAUUAGAAGGAU
This is a long non-coding RNA of Pezoporus occidentalis (night parrot), 1328 nucleotides long. RefSeq lists it as uncharacterized. The record is from RefSeq and is a predicted model, not a curated record. Lineage: Eukaryota; Metazoa; Chordata; Aves; Psittaciformes; Psittacidae. The transcript is spliced from 2 exons.